UGGGGAAUAUUGCACAAUGGGCGGAAGCCUGAUGCAGCAACGCCGCGUGAGGGAUGACGGCCUUCGGGUUGUAAACCUCUUUUAGCAGGGAAGAAGCGAAAGUGACGGUACCUGCAGAAAAAGCGCCGGCUAACUACGUGCCAGCAGCCGCGGUAAUACGUAGGGCGCAAGCGUUAUCCGGAAUUAUUGGGCGUAAAGAGCUCGUAGGCGGUUUGUCGCGUCUGCUGUGAAAUCCCGAGGCUCAACCUCGGGCCUGCAGUGGGUACGGGCAGACUAGAGUGCGGUAGGGGAGAUUGGAAUUCCUGGUGUAGCGGUGGAAUGCGCAGAUAUCAGGAGGAACACCGAUGGCGAAGGCAGAUCUCUGGGCCGUAACUGACGCUGAGGAGCGAAAGGGUGGGGAGCAAACA
Molecule: ribosomal RNA, 407 nt
Filed under: Pseudomonas sp.
Lineage: Bacteria; Pseudomonadati; Pseudomonadota; Gammaproteobacteria; Pseudomonadales; Pseudomonadaceae
Also listed under: 2 other names
Description: partial 16S ribosomal RNA
Rfam family: Bacterial small subunit ribosomal RNA
Source: RNAcentral